RNA transcript from Engraulis encrasicolus (European anchovy), 921 nucleotides. It is a transcript of the gene named Receptor expression-enhancing protein 6-like, with no coding region annotated. Lineage: Eukaryota; Metazoa; Chordata; Actinopteri; Clupeiformes; Engraulidae. The transcript is spliced from 7 exons. The record is from RefSeq and is a predicted model, not a curated record.
AUCGCAAACAGCAAAAGCCGAGUUCACCUGAGUUUUUGCCUAGUGGCCGCCCAUCUUCGUUGCCACCACCACUAGGAGCAAUGGCUCCUCCCGCAUGACAGACGCGACCUCCUUAAUUACCGGCGAACAUAUGGUUGUUUGGACCUCCUGCUGAAAAAGUUUGCGUUGGACAAGCAAGCAGCGAGGUAACGGGUUCAUUCCGCUCCUAAAAUCCACCAAUAUGGCAGCAACCAAACAACUUUUCGAGCGGAUGGUUAAGGAGAAAAAUAUUGUCACUGACAUGCUGGAAAAACUGGAGGCUAAAACCGGAAUUCAGAAGGAAUUUCUUGCUAUUGGUAUAGCUGUAGUCCUUUCACUCUAUAUGGUGUUUGGCUAUGGUGCCUCUCUGCUCUGCAAUUUGGUCGGAUUUGUGUAUCCAGCGUAUUUUUCAAUCAAAGCCAUUGAAAGCAGAAACAAAGACGACGACACUCAGUGGCUGACAUAUUGGGUCGUUUAUGGAAUGUUCAGUGUCGCAGAAUUCUUCUCGGACAUCUUUCUGUUCUGGUUUCCAUUCUACUACGCUGGAAAGUGUGUGUUUCUAGUGUGGUGCAUGGCUCCGGUAUCUUGGAAUGGGUCCCAGAUGAUCUACACUCGUGUGGUGCGACCGUUCUUCCUCAAACAUCAAGCCACGAUGGACAACAUGGUCCACGACCUGACGGGCAAGGCCAAGACUACUGCCGAAUCGCUCACAAAAGACGUCGCAGGUAUUAUUACUGGACCAGGGCCAAGUACGUGAGGAAGGCUAUUGAGGAUGAGGAGACCAAUCAGUGUAGUCCUCAUGAGCAGAGAUGGACAAAUGUCAACCGUUUGGACAAGGAGACAUGAUGCCAUCAAUUUUGGACUCAAACAAGAGUAAUCUCAUUAAACGAUUCACCGAAUGAA